UACGUAGGGCGCAAGCGUUGUCCGGAAUUAUUGGGCGUAAAGAGCUCGUAGGCGGCCUGUCGCGUCUGCUGUGAAAUCCCGGGGCUUAACCCCGGGCGUGCAGUGGAUACGGGCUGGCUGGAGGCAGGCAGGGGAGAACGGAAUUCCCGGUGUAGCGGUGAAAUGCGCAGAUAUCGGGAGGAACACCUGUGGCGAAGGCGGUUCUCUGGGCCUGUACUGACGCUGAGGAGCGAAAGCGUGGGGAGCGAACAGG
This 253-nucleotide ribosomal RNA is filed under the name uncultured bacterium. Its description in RNAcentral is "partial 16S ribosomal RNA". It matches the Rfam family "Bacterial small subunit ribosomal RNA", at positions 524 to 776 of the family's 1533-position model. The record is from RNAcentral.